Molecule: long non-coding RNA, 2488 nt
Filed under: Nicotiana benthamiana
Lineage: Eukaryota; Viridiplantae; Streptophyta; Magnoliopsida; Solanales; Solanaceae
Description: long non-coding RNA (NBEN_LNC028406)
Source: RNAcentral
UUUUAUUUUGCGUGGCACACCUCAAUUUAUUCUAAUUAAAGCAUUUCUAAACUAAUUAGUGAGGGCCAUAUGUGAACGACGAAAUCAAUAAGGCCUGAUUUUCAAGUUCAGAAAAUUGGAUUACAUUUGGUGUGAAGUCCACCAGUUUAACAAAAUCAUCAAGGUGAGAAACUUUGGACCUCAUGACCUGCUAUGUUUGGGCCCAAAAGGACGAUCAUGAAGUAUGCCCAAAACAGUCUUCACAAAAGGGGUUAGCUUCGAACCCCCGUGACAACUAUCAGACUAACACCUUUAUAGCAAUUAGAAUACACACGACAGCUCAACCUGACAUCUUAAUACACAUAAACAAUCACGAAGUACCAAUAUUAUGCAUAAAGAUAAUCAAAAUUUAGUGCUAUUUGUGAGACCUCUUGAAUCAUACUUGUACUAGAAACAUAAUACAUUAACAAUUCACUCAUUAUCACCUUGGUAUGUAACAUAUAGUGUCAUACGAAAUAUCUUAGCAAAACUCCAUUUGAAUGGUUUCCAGAAUACGCAAGCAAGUAAUUCAGUUUCUCUAAUCUAUAUUAGUCAUUUCCAUAAACACGAAUAAUGAAUGCAUCCUAAAAAAAGCAUACAUUAACUUCAAGCAUGACUGAAAACAGAUCUAAACAUGUACGAGUCAAUUGAUUCAUCUAAUACCAUAACUCCCAUAAAUUAACAUUCAGGUCACAUCAUCAGCAACCAAAUUCACAAUUAUGGCCAACAUUCAACCAAUAGCAGGCCAAAGGUUGACAAGCUGUAGUCAGAUUAAACUUGACAGUAUAGGACCUGACUCAAAAAAAUGGAAUAAAAUUGAGCACAUAAGCCUAGAUCUAACACUACUGUCAGUAUCAUAUAUUGAAAUCAUAAUAAAACCACACUUAGUUAUCUACAAAAAUGUAAGCAAUCGUUUACAGCCCAUCCCUGGUAAUUACAUAAGAAUCAUGGAUUGAAAAGAAAAGAAGAACCGAGGAUUUAACAAUAUGGCGUCAAACUUCACUUCAUUCAAACUUGUAGUUCAAGUUAUACGUCAAGUAAUGUCCAUGGAGUUUUGGAGAAUACUUGGUAUAGCAAAUAAACAAGGAAAAUCUGAGGUUAAGAGGGAUCGAACAGCAGUAACCCAACAUCAGCAAUUCUAACAAUUAAAACCCAAGAAAUCAACUCAAGACCCAAAGAAUGAGAUCAAUUCAAACAAAAUUCAACUCUCAAACCAGCAAUCGAAAUUCGAACCAGACACGAACCAAAACAUUUAGAAACCCUCUGAUUCAAACCAUUUUUACCCUCAAUUACUCAAAACUAACUCAAAAUUAAUAUCCGAAGGAUUCCCAAAGAUUUCCCAAUAUAACAUUGAUUUUUCUAUGUAUUUUAGUUGUCUGAUUUUUGUAUAUUUUUUCUAUGACUUUCAGAAUAUCCAAAAAAACUGCCUUUCAAGGCAAGAAAACGUGCCUUUAUAGGCAAGGCAAGUAGGGCAGCCUUAGGUUUUCAGUACUACACCUUACCCCUUUUUGAAUUUUCGUUUUUUCUUAGCUAACUUUAGUUAAAAAUCAGAAGCUCAGAGAAUGCCCCUACCCUAGCUUCCUAGAAGCUUCCUUUUCAGUUACUGAAAGAUUCCCCUUCCUAUGUUCCCUAUAUUAACUCCCAAACCCUAUGUUUUUACCUCCUAAAACCAGAUAGAUAUGGAUCAUGAGCCAAAUUGACCCAAUGGUUUAAACUAAGAUGAAUGGGCGGCCCCUUGCAAAUGGGUCAGACACGACCCAAAGCCCAAACUAAGGUCCGUAUUAUGAAGAAAGUGGGAGAAAAAGGAAAAUCCAAUCAAAUAACUUCAAGACUAAACUUAACAAGAUGAAUAAUUACCAAAUACAAAGAGCGUGAAACUAACUAAAUUAUUAGAUAGAAAUAAACCUAACUAAACUAUGAGGAUAAAGAGAGGGAAAGUCAGGAACUUAAAGCCUAAAUUAAACAAAACGGACAAACAAAAUCACGGUACAACUUGUGGAAUUUUGAAAUCAAAGAAAUGUAGAAGAAGAGAAGAAGAACAAGAGAUAACCAUGGACACAAAAGAAAGAAAACUCACCAAGCAACACUCGAAGCCAACACUAGAAUCCUUGAUUUAACGAAACUGAUGCUAUUCAUUUAUUCUUUGUCAAGAACAAGUGAAAAACAUCGAUUUUGUGUUAAAUAGAUCUUUCAAAAUGUGAAAUGUAACGGCCUAGGCCAGUGCACGCCACAACAUCGAGGGAAGGCAAUUUUGGGUUUUAGGGUUUCGAAUUGGAUUUAUAAUUCAAGAAGCUUUGUGAGGAUUUGAGGGAAACCAACUGCAGAUUAGGGAAUAGGGAGUCAUGGGGGUUCUAUGGUGUAUAUUUGGUAAGGUUUGAAAAUGGCGCCGCAACCUCAUUGCGGAAGAGAAUAGGGGCGGCGGGCGAGGGUUCAUCUGAGAUAAAGCAAAAGACUAAGUGAACUAAUGGGG